UUGCCCUUAGUUACCAUCGGGUCAUGCCGGGGACUCUAAGGGGACUGCCCCGGAAAACGGGGAGGAAGGUGGGGAUGACGUCAAGUCCUCAUGGCCUUUAUGUCUCGGGCUACACACGUGCUACAAUGGGCGAUACAAAGGGUCGCAACGCCGCGAGGCUGAGCUAAUCCCAAAAAAUCGCCCUCAGUUCGGAUUGGAGUCUGCAACCCGACUCCAUGAAGUUGGAAUCGCUAGUAAUCGCGGAUCAGCACGCCGCGGUGAAUACGUUCCCGGGCCUU
RNAcentral lists this ribosomal RNA (278 nucleotides) under uncultured bacterium. RNAcentral's name for it is "partial 16S ribosomal RNA". It matches the Rfam family "Bacterial small subunit ribosomal RNA", at positions 1105 to 1382 of the family's 1533-position model. The record is from RNAcentral.